UGGAAGUAAAAGUCGUAACAAGGUCUCCGUUGGUGAACCAGCGGAGGGAUCAUUACCGAGUUUACAACUCCCAAACCCAAUGUGAACGUUACCAAACUGUUGCCUCGGCGGGAACUCAUGCCCCGGGUGCGUCGCAGCCCCGGACCAAGGCGCCCGCCGGAGGACCAACCAAAACUCUUUUUGUAUACCCCCUCGCGGGUUUUUUAUAAUCUGAGCCUUCUCGGCGCCUCUCGUAGGCGUUUCGAAAAUGAAUCAAAACUUUCAACAACGGAUCUCUUGGUUCUGGCAUCGAUGAAGAACGCAGCGAAAUGCGAUAAGUAAUGUGAAUUGCAGAAUUCAGUGAAUCAUCGAAUCUUUGAACGCACAUUGCGCCCGCCAGUAUUCUGGCGGGCAUGCCUGUCCGAGCGUCAUUUCAACCCUCGAACCCCUCCGGGGGGUCGGCGUUGGGGAUCGGCCCUCCUCUUGCGGGGGCCGUCUCCGAAAUACAGUGGCGGUCUCGCCGCAGCCUCUCCUGCGCAGUAGUUUGCACACUCGCAUCGGGAGCGCGGCGCGUCCACAGCCGUUAAACACCCAACUUCUGAAAUGUUGACCUCGGAUCAGGUAGGAAUACCCGCUGAACUUAAGCAUAUCAAUAAGCGGAGGA
Molecule: ribosomal RNA, 643 nt
Filed under: Trichoderma tomentosum
Lineage: Eukaryota; Fungi; Ascomycota; Sordariomycetes; Hypocreales; Hypocreaceae
Description: eukaryotic LSU rRNA
Rfam family: 5.8S ribosomal RNA (bases 257-410)
Source: RNAcentral